This is a long non-coding RNA of Lycium ferocissimum, 303 nucleotides long. RefSeq lists it as uncharacterized. Lineage: Eukaryota; Viridiplantae; Streptophyta; Magnoliopsida; Solanales; Solanaceae. The record is from RefSeq and is a predicted model, not a curated record. The transcript is spliced from 3 exons.
UACAAGUUCAAGGAGGUGAUAGCAACAUUGGAUAUUGAAUCGAGGAAAAAGAAAUUGCGAAAUUAGAGCAAUUAAGAGUAGAAAUUCCUCGAGAAAAUUAAGGCUAAAAAGAGCGACAAAGCGAAUGGUUUUGCGAUUAGUCGUCAACAGGUACAGAUAAUCGGUUUGGUGACCCGUCAGCAUAGGACUUCUACUCAGCUGUCCUGGAGAGCUCCGUUGUUCCGGAGUCUAAACUUUUAGUACAGAUCCUACGAUAUAUAUAUGUAUAUGUUAUCCAGGGGUACGACGGGGCCCGUCCCCAUC